This 450-nucleotide ribosomal RNA is filed under the name uncultured bacterium. RNAcentral describes it as "partial 16S ribosomal RNA". It matches the Rfam family "Bacterial small subunit ribosomal RNA", at positions 338 to 795 of the family's 1533-position model. The record is from RNAcentral.
CCUACGGGGGGCAGCAGUCGAGAAUCUUUCACAAUGGGGGCAACCCUGAUGGAGCGACGCCGCGUGGAGGAUAAGGUCUUCGGAUUGUAAACUCCUGUCAUGCGAGAACAAGGUUGCAGGGCUAACACCUUUGCAAAUUGAUGGUACCGCAAGAGGAAGAGACGGCUAACUCUGUGCCAGCAGCCGCGGUAAUACAGAGGCGUCAAGCCUGGGUGUGAAUCGCUGGUCGUAAGGGUUGCAAGUCUGACGUGAAAGCCCGGGGCUCAACCUCGGAAUUGCAUCCGAUACUGCCAUGCUGGAGUACUGAAGAGGUGACUAGAAUUCUAGGUGUAGCAGUGAAAUGCGUAGAUAUCUAGAGGAAUACCAACGGCGAAGGCAGGUCACUGGGCAGUUACUGACACUGAGGCACGAAGGCCAGGGGAGCAAACGGGAUUAGAUACCCUAGUAGUC